Molecule: unclassified non-coding RNA, 930 nt
Filed under: Hevea brasiliensis (rubber tree)
Lineage: Eukaryota; Viridiplantae; Streptophyta; Magnoliopsida; Malpighiales; Euphorbiaceae
Source: RNAcentral
GGGAGGGAAAAAUAGAAGUAUGCCCCUAGCCACAACACUAGAAAACGGCAUUUGUAAAAGAAAAUUGAACUCUGCACAAAGCGUCAGCAUCAGUAUUUGUUACACCUAUGAAGAAUCAAUCAAAUCCAAAGAGUCAUUUAAACAGUGUGAUCCCAACCAUCAUGAUGAAUACAAGGGUCAAGCAGGAUCCACAAAAUCCGUACAAUGACUCGAAUAUAUUCAUUCCUACAUUAGCACCUAAAUAAUCUACACCCAUUCAAUGGAUAUAUAGACAGUAUUGCCAGCAGCCAACUCUUCAUACCGAGGCACACUUUGUCAUCGACCACCAGCUUCAACACCAACGAAAAGAAUGCUGCAUCUGUUAAAACCCAUUGACUUCUAAUUAACUGAAUCAAGAUGGCAAUGGCUGCUAAUCCUGGUUUACAAAUUCAUCAAAUUAGCUUCCGCAGCAAAUAUAGCCUUCUACGAGUCCAACAUCUCAUCCUGGAUCUCAUUAGGAGCAAUAAGCCCUGGAAUAGAAAGCAUCCUCUGUCUCUCUCUUUCUCUCUGAGCAGCAGCUUCUUCUGCAUAAAGAUCUUUAUUAUCCUGAGCUGAAAAUUCUUUUGAUUGCACAAGAAAGUCUCGGAUGUGAUUUUUAAAUACAGAAAGGUCAGUUCUUGACUCAAUUAGCCCAUUAACAAAUUGAGUGACCUCUGAUGCAGUCAUGUUGGGGAAUGAUGUUCCCAAAAGUUUAAUGGUGUAUUCACGAACAAAAAUUGCAUUGUUUGGGUAUGGAUAAGGAACUGUUGUAGCAUCCCAUAAAGGCUCAGUCAAAGCACCACUUUCAACCAGACAAAACAAAUGCUGCAACACUAAGACGUGCAGCUUGAAGCCAGGUUUGUGAAAAGUAUCUGUUAAGACGGCAAAUAUUUCCUGCUCAAUUGUGAGAAA